Long non-coding RNA from Bradysia coprophila, 192 nucleotides. The record is from RefSeq and is a predicted model, not a curated record. NCBI's taxonomy places the organism in Eukaryota, Metazoa, Arthropoda, Insecta, Diptera, Sciaridae.
UCCUAUAAUUCCAAUUAAUUUCUACAAUUCCACGAAUUUUCGAAAUAAUUCCACGAUAUUUUCCUUUAUUAUUCAAUUCCAUUGCGACAUAUUUUUUUGUUGGAAAUAGUUGGUGACUCACUAAUAUAGUUGUCAAAUAGAGACUAAAGUCAAAGUUAAAGGAGCGUUUCGUAAUGAAAACUAAACUAAAAU